This 256-nucleotide ribosomal RNA is filed under the name uncultured bacterium. RNAcentral describes it as "partial 16S ribosomal RNA". It matches the Rfam family "Bacterial small subunit ribosomal RNA", at positions 521 to 776 of the family's 1533-position model. The record is from RNAcentral.
UAAAACGUAGGAUCCGAGCGUUAUCCGAAUUCACUGGGCGUAAAGCGCGAGUAGGCGGCCGGAUAAGUUGGAUGUAAAAUCUCCCGGCUCAACUGGGAGAGGACGUACAAGACUGUUUGGCUAGAGGGCGAUAGAGGGAGGCGGAAUUCCCGGUGUAGUGGUGAAAUGCGUAGAUAUCGGGAGGAACACCAGAGGCGAAGGCGGCUUCCUGGAUCGUACCUGACGCUGAGAUGCGAAAGCUAGGGGAGCAAACGGG